RNAcentral lists this transfer RNA (113 nucleotides) under Tidjanibacter sp. Its description in RNAcentral is "tRNA-OTHER". Lineage: Bacteria; Pseudomonadati; Bacteroidota; Bacteroidia; Bacteroidales; Rikenellaceae. The record is from RNAcentral.
CGCGGCGUGGUGCAAGUUUGUGGUAACAACGCCCGGCCCCAACUCAACUACGGUAAAAUUGGGCGAAACUUUCGGGGUGCGUGGAGAUGGCAGUUCGAGUCUGCCCGCCGCUU